UGAGGCAUCCAAAUGGGGAAGGAAGAAAUAAAAGUAUGUCCCAACACAGAAGACAUAACACAUAUGUAGAAAACCCUGAAGAUGUCACACAAAAGUGUUGGAACUAAUAAUUUCAGUAAAAUUGCAGAAUAUAAGGGUAACAUCCCAAAGGAAAUUGAAAACACAAUUCCAAGGCAUCACACUUGCUGAUUUCAACUAUGAAAAGCCAGGAUAUCAAGACACCAUGGUACUGGCAAGAAAACAGGCACAUAGUCCAGUAGAGCUGAGCUGAGAGCCCAGACUUCAACCCACACAUGUGGUCAAGUCAUGUUUGGGGGCCAGAAGCGCAUGAGAGGGCAAGGAAAGACUGGGCACCCACACACAGAAGGAUGAAAUUGGACCCUUAUUUUAUGUUCCAUACACAGAAAGGAACUUGAAAUGGAAGACAGAGUUAAAUAUUUAUCAGCCCUGAAACUCUCAGAAGAAAACCGAGGUGAAAUCUCUUGAUUUGGGUAUUAGCAAUGAUUUUUUGGACAUAACACCAACAGGAUGGGCAACAGAAGAAAACUAAACAAGCAGGGCUACAAAAGCAAAGGAAUCCAUCCAUAAAAUGAAAGGGUAAUGACCAAAGUGGGGGACAUAUUUACAAAGCAUAUCUGACAGGAGUUAAGAUGUCUCUAAUAGUGGGGAAAAGGCCUGCCUUGGCAUUUUCCCAAAG
This 697-nucleotide long non-coding RNA is filed under the name Marmota monax (woodchuck). Lineage: Eukaryota; Metazoa; Chordata; Mammalia; Rodentia; Sciuridae. The record is from RNAcentral.